RNAcentral lists this ribosomal RNA (253 nucleotides) under uncultured bacterium. Its description in RNAcentral is "partial 16S ribosomal RNA". It matches the Rfam family "Bacterial small subunit ribosomal RNA", at positions 524 to 776 of the family's 1533-position model. The record is from RNAcentral.
UACGAAGGGGGCUAGCGUUGCUCGGAAUCACUGGGCGUAAAGCGCACGUAGGCGGCUUGUUAAGUCAGGGGUGAAAUCCUGGAGCUCAACUCCAGAACUGCCUUUGAUACUGGCGAGCUUGAGUUCGGGAGAGGUGAGUGGAACUGCGAGUGUAGAGGUGAAAUUCGUAGAUAUUCGCAAGAACACCAGUGGCGAAGGCGGCUCACUGGCCCAAUACUGACGCUCAUGCACGAAAGCGUGGGGAGCAAACAGG